CCGAUAUUUAUAUGAUUCAGGAAGGCAGCCAGGAAGAAAGAAGAAGUAGCUUGAGAACUGCGACGGAAAAGAUUACAAGAAAAACAGCGUGAAACACAACAAACCAAUGGUGUGACUGAUAAUUAAAGCUUGCAGCUACGUGGUCAGGAAGAUCCAGGCUGCUGCUUCUGGCGGAGAGCGAGAAGAAAAGCCUGUCCUGACACCAUGUAGUUCAAAAGCUCUAAAAAAGGAGGAGAAAAGGUCGAUGGGAUCUUCCUCAACUGCUGCCCUGAACCCAGGACCUGAAGAAGGCAUGGACGGAGCAGCAGCCUCGGGGAUGACCUCCCAGCUCGAUGUGCAGCCAUGCGGAUCCUGACGUUAAAGAUCUGGCUAGAUACUGGCACUGUAGUGAACUCAAGUGCAAAAAUUGAUUUGUUAUUGAUAUUUAAAGUAUAGAGAAAACAAUUUGCAGUUUACUAUACAUAAUCACGGAAUUUAAAUGGUUUUAUUAAAAGUAAAACAAUGCAAAUAAACUAAUUCCAACAUUUUCCUGUAUUAAAGUUGUAUACAGUGACCAGUGUCUAGUCCAGGAUGACCACCAAAAUUUUUUAAAUUUUUUUUGUCUUUCACAGCAAACUGACAUUGCAGAAAACAAGUUGAAUUAAAACUAAAGCAGUCGGUAUGUUUCCUGUGAAAGACCUAAUUUCAUGUACUGCAGCGUUUGAAGGCCGACUUACCAACCUUUGUGCCCAGAGGCUAAGUUGGCCUGAUGUUUCUGUUGUUACGUCAACUAUAAAAUUGUUUUUGUUAAGGUUUAUACAAUAUGCCAAAAGGUAAACAUUGUAAUGGAUUUUUGUAUUUUAAAAAAAUAUUACGUAAGCAGUUAUUUGUAUAUCACUUGGUUACAUUUGUAAGAAAUUUGAAUUUCUCACUAUGUUUGCAUUGUUU
Long non-coding RNA from Nematolebias whitei (Rio pearlfish), 927 nucleotides. RefSeq lists it as uncharacterized. NCBI's taxonomy places the organism in Eukaryota, Metazoa, Chordata, Actinopteri, Cyprinodontiformes, Rivulidae. The record is from RefSeq and is a predicted model, not a curated record. The transcript has 3 exons.